UGGUCUAAUGAUGAUGCCUGGCGUGUGAGUCAUAUAGGAUGAAUUCUGUGUCCAGAGUCUGAGGUCCAA
Molecule: small nucleolar RNA, 69 nt
Organism: Hippopotamus amphibius kiboko
Lineage: Eukaryota; Metazoa; Chordata; Mammalia; Artiodactyla; Hippopotamidae
Product: small nucleolar RNA SNORD113/SNORD114 family
Exons: 1
Source: RefSeq, a predicted model, not a curated record